CCUACGGGUGGCUGCAGUGGGGAAUAUUGCACAAUGGGCGCAAGCCUAAUGCAGCCAUGCCGCGUGUGUGAAGAAGGCCUUCGGGUUGUAAAGCACUUUCAGCGGGGAGGAAGGCGUUAAGGUUAAUAACCUUGUCGAUUGACGUUACCCGCAGAAGAAGCACCGGCUAACUCCGUGCCAGCAGCCGCGGUAAUACGGAGGGUGCAAGCGUUAAUCGGAAUUACUGGGCGUAAAGCGCACGCAGGCGGUCUGUCAAGUCGGAUGUGAAAUCCCCGGGCUCAACCUGGGAACUGCAUUCGAAACUGGCAGGCUAGAGUCUUGUAGAGGGGGGUAGAAUUCCAGGUGUAGCGGUGAAAUGCGUAGAGAUCUGGAGGAAUACCGGUGGCGAAGGCGGCCCCCUGGACAAAGACUGACGCUGAGGAGCGAAAGCGUGGGGAGCGAACAGGAUUAGAUACCCUAGUAGUC
RNAcentral lists this ribosomal RNA (465 nucleotides) under uncultured Klebsiella sp. RNAcentral describes it as "bacterial SSU rRNA". It matches the Rfam family "Bacterial small subunit ribosomal RNA", at positions 338 to 795 of the family's 1533-position model. The record is from RNAcentral. Lineage: Bacteria; Pseudomonadati; Pseudomonadota; Gammaproteobacteria; Enterobacterales; Enterobacteriaceae.